This 492-nucleotide ribosomal RNA is filed under the name uncultured bacterium. Its description in RNAcentral is "partial 16S ribosomal RNA". It matches the Rfam family "Bacterial small subunit ribosomal RNA", at positions 29 to 507 of the family's 1533-position model. The record is from RNAcentral.
AGUGAACGCUGGCGGUAGGCCUAACACAUGCAAGUCGAACGGCAGCACAGUAAGAGCUUGCUCUUACGGGUGGCGAGUGGCGGACGGGUGCGGAAUACAUCGGAAUCUACUUUUUCGUGGGGGAUAACGUAGGGAAACUUACGCUAAUACCGCAUACGACCUACGGGUGAAAGCAGGGGAGCUUCGGACCUUGCGCGAUUGAAUGAGCCGAUGUCGGAUUAGCUAGUUGGCGGGGUAAAGGCCCACCAAGGCGACGAUCCGUAGCUGGUCUGAGAGGAUGAUCAGCCACACUGGAACUGAGACACGGUCCAGACUCCUACGGGAGGCAGCAGUGGGGAAUAUUGGACAAUGGGCGCAAGCCUGAUCCAGCCAUACCGCGUGGGUGAAGAAGGCCUUCGGGUUGUAAAGCCCUUUUGUUGGGAAAGAAAAGCAGCAGGUUAAUACCCCGCUGUUCUGACGGUACCCAAAGAAUAAGCACCGGCUAACUUCGUG